RNAcentral lists this small RNA (148 nucleotides) under Arabidopsis thaliana (thale cress). RNAcentral describes it as "ATSL010290". The record is from RNAcentral. Lineage: Eukaryota; Viridiplantae; Streptophyta; Magnoliopsida; Brassicales; Brassicaceae.
GUUGUUGAGAAUGUUUUGAGGUAGAGAGGAGAAGUAGAAAUCGAUAAAGGCGAAGAAGGAAUCGCAAGGAAGGAAGAAACUUGAGAGGAAGAUCAUGAUCCUAGCUGUGUUGUUCGCCAAUUCCGUUGGGAAUGUUUUAAUCGAAAGG